Molecule: ribosomal RNA, 405 nt
Filed under: uncultured bacterium
Lineage: Bacteria
Description: partial 16S ribosomal RNA
Rfam family: Bacterial small subunit ribosomal RNA
Source: RNAcentral
AUUGAACGCUGGCGGCAGGCUUAACACAUGCAAGUCGAACGAGUGGCGGACGGGUGAGUAAUGCUUGGGAAUCUGGCUGAUGGAGGGGGAUAACGACGGGAAACGGUAGCUAAUACCGCGUACCAUAGGAUGAGCCCAGGUGGGAUUAGGUAGUUGGUGGGGUAAUGGCUGACCAAGCCGACGAUCUCUAGCUGGUCUGAGAGGAUGACCAGCCACACCGGAACUGAGACACGGUCCGGACUCCUACGGGAGGCAGCAGUGGGGAAUAUUGCGCAAUGGGGGCAACCUGAUGCAGCCAUGCCGCGUGAAUGAAGAAGGCCUUCGGGUUGUAAAGUUCUUUCGGUGGCGAGGCGUUAAUCACAGAAGAAGCACCGGCUAACUCCGUGCCAGCAGCCGCGGUAAUAC